GAAAUUUACUGGAAUGGACCUACUGAUAGUUUUAAAUUAAUUUAAAUCAGUUCUUUCAUAGGAAAACUGCUUCAAAGGCUUUAAUAAACAUGAGCUCAGGCACGUAGAAACAAAAAGAAGAACUAUUAAAGAAACAAGUCUGAAAUUUUUCUGCUUCCAAAGUCUCAAAGUUGCCUGUAUAAUCAAUAGGUUUGAUUUAGACUAGCAAGAUGGCUUUCUACAAAGAGAUCUGAAGGAGACAGUCGAUUACAGCAUUGGAGCCUCCUCAGGAGAACAAAUCUAUCUUGGGAUGGCUUCAUCAAGUCUGAACUCUGACAUGCCAGUUGUUUCCUCCUGCCUUUCAUUUGAUUCAGUUGUGC
RNAcentral lists this long non-coding RNA (359 nucleotides) under Cyanistes caeruleus (blue tit). Its description in RNAcentral is "lncRNA (ENSCCEG00000012761.1)". Lineage: Eukaryota; Metazoa; Chordata; Aves; Passeriformes; Paridae. The record is from RNAcentral.